This 584-nucleotide ribosomal RNA is filed under the name uncultured bacterium. RNAcentral describes it as "partial 16S ribosomal RNA". It matches the Rfam family "Bacterial small subunit ribosomal RNA", at positions 355 to 937 of the family's 1533-position model. The record is from RNAcentral.
UGGGGAAUUUUGGACAAUGGGCGAAAGCCUGAUCCAGCAAUGCCGCGUGUGUGAAGAAGGCCUUCGGGUUGUAAAGCACUUUUGUCCGGAAAGGAAUCCUUGGCUCUAAUACAGUCGGGGGAUGACGGUACCGGAAGAAUAAGCACCGGCUAACUACGUGCCAGCAGCCGCGGUAAUACGUAGGGUGCAAGCGUUAAUCGGAAUUACUGGGCGUAAAGCGUGCGCAGGCGGUUUGCUAAGACCGAUGUGAAAUCCCCGGGCUCAACCUGGGAACUGCAUUGGUGACUGGCAGGCUAGAGUAUGGCAGAGGGGGGUAGAAUUCCACGUGUAGCAGUGAAAUGCGUAGAGAUGUGGAGGAAUACCGAUGGCGAAGGCAGCCCCCUGGGCCAAUACUGACGCUCAUGCACGAAAGCGUGGGGAGCAAACAGGAUUAGAUACCCUGGUAGUCCACGCCCUAAACGAUGUCAACUAGUUGUUGGGGAUUCAUUUCCUUAGUAACGUAGCUAACGCGUGAAGUUGACCGCCUGGGGAGUACGGUCGCAAGAUUAAAACUCAAAGGAAUUGACGGGGUCAUAGCUGUUUCC